CCCUAGUAACGGCGAGUGAAGCGGCAACAGCUCAAAUUUGAAAUCUGGCGUCUUUGGCGUCCGAGUUGUAAUUUGCAGAGGGCGCUUUGGCAUUGGCAGCGGUCCAAGUUCCUUGGAACAGGACGUCACAGAGGGUGAGAAUCCCGUACGUGGUCGCUAGCCUUUACCGUGUAAAGCCCCUUCGACGAGUCGAGUUGUUUGGGAAUGCAGCUCUAAAUGGGAGGUAAAUUUCUUCUAAAGCUAAAUACUGGCCAGAGACCGAUAGCGCACAAGUAGAGUGAUCGAAAGAUGAAAAGCACUUUGGAAAGAGAGUUAAAAAGCACGUGAAAUUGUUGAAAGGGAAGCGCUUGCAGCCAGACUUGCCUGUAGUUGCUCAUCCGGGUUUUUACCCGGUGCACUCUUCUAUAGGCAGGCCAGCAUCAGUUUGGGCGGUUGGAUAAAGGUCUCUGUCAUGUACCUCUCUUCGGGGAGAACUUAUAGGGGAGACGACAUGCAACCAGCCUGGACUGAGGUCCGCGCAUCUGCUAGGAUGCUGGCGUAAUGGCUGUAAGCGGCCCGUCUUGAAACACGGACCAAGGAGUCUAACAUCUAUGCGAGUGUUUGGGUGUCAAGCCCGAACGCGUAAUGAAAGUGAACGGAGGUGGGAACCUUUCGGGGUGCACCAUCGACCGAUCCUGAUGUCUUCGGAUGGAUUUGAGUAAGAGCAUAGCUGUUGGGACCCGAAAGAUGGUGAACUAUGCUUGAAUAGGGUGAAGCCAGAGGAAACUCUGGUGGAGGCUCGCAGCGGUUCUGACGUGCAAAUCGAUCGUCAAAUUUGGGCAUAGGGGCGAAAGACU
This 836-nucleotide ribosomal RNA is filed under the name Phomatodes nebulosa. RNAcentral's name for it is "partial large subunit ribosomal RNA". It matches the Rfam family "Eukaryotic large subunit ribosomal RNA", at positions 78 to 932 of the family's 3401-position model. The record is from RNAcentral. Lineage: Eukaryota; Fungi; Ascomycota; Dothideomycetes; Pleosporales; Didymellaceae.